This 253-nucleotide ribosomal RNA is filed under the name uncultured bacterium. RNAcentral describes it as "partial 16S ribosomal RNA". It matches the Rfam family "Bacterial small subunit ribosomal RNA", at positions 524 to 776 of the family's 1533-position model. The record is from RNAcentral.
GACGAACCGUGCGAACGUUGUUCGGAAUCACUGGGCUUAAAGGGUGCGUAGGCGGGCUGCCAAGUUCGGGGUGAAAUCCUCCGGCUCAACCGGAGAACUGCCUCGAAUACUGGCGGUCUCGAGGGGGAUAGGGGCAUGCGGAACUAUGGGUGGAGCGGUGAAAUGCGUUGAUAUCCAUAGGAACUCCGGUGGCGAAAGCGGCGUGCUGGAUCCCUUCUGACGCUGAGGCACGAAAGCCGGGGGAGCAAACGGG